This is an unclassified non-coding RNA of Cricetulus griseus (Chinese hamster), 95 nucleotides long. NCBI's taxonomy places the organism in Eukaryota, Metazoa, Chordata, Mammalia, Rodentia, Cricetidae. The record is from Ensembl.
CCCUCCAGCAGGCUGUGUUUGCAGACUACAUGGAGCCUCACGUGGGGAUUCUCUGAGCCCUGUGGAUUUACAGUAAGAUGCAGUUGCCUAGGGAG